RNAcentral lists this small nuclear RNA (164 nucleotides) under Mus spretus (western wild mouse). Its description in RNAcentral is "predicted gene, 25818 (ENSMSPG00010009607.1)". It matches the Rfam family "U1 spliceosomal RNA". Rfam says of the family: U1 is a small nuclear RNA (snRNA) component of the spliceosome (involved in pre-mRNA splicing). Its 5' end forms complementary base pairs with the 5' splice junction, thus defining the 5' donor site of an intron. Lineage: Eukaryota; Metazoa; Chordata; Mammalia; Rodentia; Muridae. The record is from RNAcentral.
AUACUUACCUGUCAGGGGAGAUACCAUGAUCUUGAAGGUGGUUUUCCCAGGGCGAGGCGUAUCCAUUGCACUCUGGAUGUGCUGAUCCCUGCGAUUUCCCCAAAUGAGGGAAACUCGACUGCAUAAUUUGUGGUAGUCCGGGACUGCGUUUGUGCUCUCCCCUG